AUCCAGCUGAUGAGUUCCAAAUAGGACGAAGCGCGUCCUGGAU
RNAcentral lists this non-coding RNA (43 nucleotides) under Schistosoma curassoni. Lineage: Eukaryota; Metazoa; Platyhelminthes; Trematoda; Strigeidida; Schistosomatidae. The record is from RNAcentral.